RNAcentral lists this ribosomal RNA (458 nucleotides) under uncultured bacterium. RNAcentral describes it as "bacterial SSU rRNA". It matches the Rfam family "Bacterial small subunit ribosomal RNA", at positions 338 to 795 of the family's 1533-position model. The record is from RNAcentral.
CCUACGGGAGGCUGCAGUGGGGAAUCUUCGGCAAUGGGCGAAAGCCUGACCGAGCGACGCCGCGUGCGGGAUGAAGGCCCUCGGGUUGUAAACCGCUGUCAGUGGGGAGGAAGGCUCUGUGAAGAGCAGGGUUUGACCUAUCCGCAGAGGAAGUCCGGGCUAAGUUCGUGCCAGCAGCCGCGGUAACACGAACCGGACAAACGUUAUUCGGAAUCACUGGGCUUAAAGGGUGCGUAGGCGGCCUGACAAGUUGGGUGUGAAAUCCCUCGGCUCAACCGAGGAAUUGCGCUCAAAACUGUUGGGCUUGAGGGAGUUAGAGGUAAGCGGAACUUAGGGUGGAGCGGUGAAAUGCGUUGAUAUCCUAAGGAACACCAGUGGCGAAAGCGGCUUACUGGAGCUUUUCUGACGCUGAGGCACGAAAGCUAGGGGAGCGAACGGGCUUAGAUACCCCUGUAGUC